Acanthosepion pharaonis is the source of this 113-nucleotide non-coding RNA. The record is from the annotation of a GenBank genome assembly. Lineage: Eukaryota; Metazoa; Mollusca; Cephalopoda; Sepiida; Sepiidae.
UACAGUCAUAUCACGUCGAAACGUUGGUUCUUCUACGAUCACUAAAGUUAAGCAACGUAGAGCCUGGUCAGUACUUAGAUUGUUGACCGUUUGGGAAUACCACGUACUGUAAG